AUUGAACGCUCGCGGCAGGCUUAACACAUGCAAGUCGAACGAGUGGCGGACGGGUGAGUAAUGUAUGGGAACCUGCCCGAUGGAGGGGGAUAACUACUGGAAACGGUAGCUAAUACCGCAUACCAUCGGAUGUACCCAGGUGGGAUUAGCUAGUUGGUGGGGUAACGGCUCACCUAGGCGACGAUCCCUAGCUGGUCUGAGAGGAUGAUCAGCCACACUGGGACUGAGACGCGGGCCAGACGCCUACGGGAGGCAGCAGUGGGGAAUAUUGCACAAUGGGCGCAAGCCUGAUGCAGCCAUGCCGCGUGUAUGAAGAAGGACCUCGGGUUGUAAAGUACUUUCAGCGAGGAGGCGUUACUCGCAGAAGAAGCACCGGCUAACUCCGUGCCAGCAGCCGCGGUAAUUC
Molecule: ribosomal RNA, 406 nt
Filed under: uncultured bacterium
Lineage: Bacteria
Description: partial 16S ribosomal RNA
Rfam family: Bacterial small subunit ribosomal RNA
Source: RNAcentral